RNAcentral lists this ribosomal RNA (41 nucleotides) under Elatine rubella. RNAcentral describes it as "partial 18S ribosomal RNA". Lineage: Eukaryota; Viridiplantae; Streptophyta; Magnoliopsida; Malpighiales; Elatinaceae. The record is from RNAcentral.
CCGUAGGUGAACCUGCGGAAGGAUCAUUGUCGAAACCUGCC